This 1534-nucleotide long non-coding RNA is filed under the name Oryctolagus cuniculus (rabbit). RNAcentral describes it as "lncRNA (ENSOCUG00000039143.1)". The record is from RNAcentral. Lineage: Eukaryota; Metazoa; Chordata; Mammalia; Lagomorpha; Leporidae.
AUGCUGUCACCACAGGAGUCUAAAUGGCCCAUAAAGCCAGGAACACCUUGGAGGUUUCAGCCAUUCUGCUCACUGGGCCGGUGGACUUCAUGGGAUUUUGGCUGUAGACUUCAGAGCUUCUGGAGUUUCUGUCUGUAUCAGUUUUGCCCAAGUGGCACAUUAGGUGUUCAUUGCUCACUGGGGACUGCUGGGGGACAGGCGCGCUAUUUCCUGCUCUGUUGUCUGCCCCAGUCCACUGGGUUUGGAAGUGAGGAGGAAGACUUACCUGGAAGAAGCAGGAGCAGGCGCCCAGAGGAAGAGGGAGAGGAUACCCAAGCUGUGCUAAUGAAAUCUUGUCUUACCAGGAGAUGCGGGAGGAGGCGACCUGUGGGAUGCAAAGCGCCGUUGUGGGAACAUGGGCUGCUCUCUGCUUUGCACUCUGCGGUGGCUGAGGAGUUUAUGGAGGCUGGGAAGUAUGCUGUUAGCAGCCUGGUUAGAAUCCUGGAAGAACAGCACUUGUUCUGGAAAGAAGCACAGGAACAGCAGAGUGAAUGAGAGCAUCAAAGGAGUCCAGGAAGUAAGUGUGAACCAUUCAGGCCUCCUGGAAGCUGCAGCCACUGGGAGGGGCCAUAAGCUCUGUGUGAAUGCCCUGUGUGAAUGUCUGAGAUUCGGGCAAUGCAGUGUUUUAUCCACAGAAAAACCUUGCAAUGAAGGAAGCUCGCAUGAAGCCCGCAUUACCCGGAGUUUCCAACAUGGCCACCUCCGCCUGUGUGUGCCUCCAGCUGUCUGUGAGCAAAACAGCACUGCAAGGUAACAGCCUGCUUUCCUUUGGACGCACAACUGCUGUCACUGCUCCAUCCCGGCUGCUGCUGCAACCCAGAGGGGCUUGGGCUGCAUGGCAGUGACCCUGACCGAGUUGGGGGUGACCUUGGCACUCACCUUUUCUAAAGCUGCUGCUCAUACAAGAUGAGCGUGGAGCACCUGUAGUCCCAGAAAGUGAGGAAACAGGAUGGGGGAUGUCAAAGGGACACGGGAGCCAAACUGGGCAAGUUUGAAGGCCAAAGCCAGAUAGUGCUGGGUUGUAGUCUACCAGGUAAAAUACAUAUCCCUCAGUUCCACUGAUGUACAUGAGGGGUUGAGAAAGCGAGGGAGACAAGAGAAACCUCCCUGGCAGAGGAUUCCAAAUAAUUCAUGCAAUUCCCCGCCCCAGGAGGAGGAGUAAGUGCCUCCCCGCUCCAGGCGGACUGGGCUUAGUGGCCAGGUUCCGAGAGGAGAGACUGGAUGGGAAGGAAGGGCCCACACUGCCUGAGCCAGGGAUGAAGCCAGCAACAGCCAUUCCUGGCUUCUGAUGCUCAACUCAAGAUUUUUUUUUUUUUUUUUACUUUACAAAAGUGAUACACAUGGAGCAGAAAUCAUACUUUGAAUUUUGAAUUUGGAUUUUAUUCCGGGGAAGUGGUAUGUACAGGUCGCCUCUGCAGCAGUACCUGUGACUCCGUCGGCCCUGUGAUCCCCAGGGGAAGCCACCGGCACACAGCGCCGUGCGGCAUUGCUAAGC